Chlorocebus sabaeus (green monkey) is the source of this 3695-nucleotide non-coding RNA. NCBI's taxonomy places the organism in Eukaryota, Metazoa, Chordata, Mammalia, Primates, Cercopithecidae. The record is from RefSeq and is a predicted model, not a curated record.
UCGAUUUCCUGACCUCAUGAUUCGCCCACCUCGGCCUCCCAAAGUGCUGGGAUUACAGGCGUGAGCCAGCGCGCCCGGCUUUUCUUGGUAUUUUUUCUAAAAGAUUUGUUAGUUCAUUUUGUCUAAGUAUUUUAUUUAAAAUACAUUUUUGUAUCAUUAAAGGAAAUAAUCCAACUUUAUUUUAUCAGUGUUGAUACUACAGCUUUUAACCGUUGGUUGUAUUGACAAAUUUGAACAAUGAAAUUUUUUGACCCCUGAGCAAGAAUAUGUUGAAGAGUGUGUUUUAUAUUCACAUCUUUUUGAAUUUGCCAUCUGACUUUUGCUUUUAAUUCCUAGUUUCAUUCAGUUUUUGUUAGAAAGCACAGUGUAAGGCCCCGCCCAGCUGGGCGCGGGCGGGUGGCAUCGCCUGUAAGAGCACCCCAGUGUUUUGGGGACCGCGGGCUGAGCGCACUGACCUGGUGCGCAUGUCCCGGGCGGUGACACCGGCGCCCAGCUCCAUGUGUGCGGCCCCGGGGCGUAUUAUCUGGCCAGUGGCGCUGGCGGGCCAGCAGACAGGCUGAGCGAGCACAGAUGAGCGAGCGUGGCGGACCUGGGCGGCCCCACAGGCAUAACAAGCACGCGUGGCCCAGCGCCCCCGGCCCCAAUGCCACCCGGCCCCACGGGCGACCCCGGACCCGCAGCCCCACUAACCCGCGCGCUGCCCAGGGCCUGGCCGACCCACGGCCUGGUUGGUCAGCACGUCGUCUCAAGUAGGUAGCCUUUUGACGUCACUGUGGCCAUGACCAACUGGUAGGACCAGCACCCCAUACCGCGAAGCCAGUUCAGAAUGACCGAAGAAGCAUGCCAAAAACGGAGUCAGAAACGAGCGCUUGAACUGGACCCAACAGAGGACGACGUGGAGAGCAAGAAAAUAAAAAUGGAGAGAGGAUUGUUGGCUUCAGAUUUAAACACUGACAGAGACAUAAGGGUGACACCUGAGCCGGGGGCGGGUCCAGCCCAAGGAUUGCUGAGGGCAACAGGGGCCACGACGGUGGCCAUGGGCACAGACGAAGGUCUGGUGGGCGAUGGACCCGUGGACAUGCCCUCCUCACACAGUGACAUGAAAUCUGAGAGAAGACCCCCCCUUACCCGACAUGACUGUACUCUCCCACAACGAGCAGCCCUCCAGCCCGAGAGAGAAUGGGCUGAUCACGGUGGCCUUGAAGGAGACUAGCGCCGAGGCUGUCAUGAAAAGCAACCCGAAAGAACGAGAAAGGAUAUUCAAGCAGCUGAAAGAAGAGUUGAGGUUAGAAGCAGCAAAACUCGUUUUGUUGAAAAAGUUGCGGAGGAGUCAAAUACGAAAGGAAGCCACCGCCCAGAAGCCCGCAGGUUCUGUCUGGAGCGCCGUGACCACCCCUCCGCCGCUUGUUCGGAGCACUCAGAACAUUCCUGCUGGCAAGCCGUCACCCCAGAUCUCUUCAGCUCGGAUGUCUGGCAGUGUCAUACCCCCACCCCUGGUCCGAGGUGGGCAGCAGGUGUCCUUGAAGCUGGGGCUGCAGGAGAACUCGCAGGUCGUCAUGACCCCGCUGGUCAGGGGGCCCCAGCAAAUCCAUAGCAUUAUGCAACAUUCCAGCACAGGCCCACCGCCCCUCCUGGCCCCCCGGGCAUCGGUGCCCAGUGUGCAGAUUCAGGGACAGAGGAUCGUCCAGCAGGGCCUCAUCCGCAUUGCCAGUGUUCUCAACACCAGCCUGCUCAUCAACAUCCCACAGCCCACCCCAGCAUCACUGAAGGGGAGGACAGCCUCCUACGCUCAGGCCAACUCCACCCUCACUAGCGUGGCCUCUGUGGUCACCUCCACCGAGUCUUCAGCAAGCCGACAGGCAGCCGCCAAGGUGGCGCUGCGCAAACAGCUGGAGAAGACGCUACUCGAGAUUCCCCCCACCCGAGCGCCCAGCCCCGGAGAUGAACUUUCUGCCCAGCGCCCCCAACAGUGAGUUCAUCUACCUGGUCAGCCUGGAGGAGGUGGUGCAGAACCUACUGGAGACACAAGCGGCCAGGAUGUUGGCCGCCACUGUGCUGUCCCGGGAGCCCUACAUGUGUGCACACUGCAAGAUGGACUUCAUGUGCCGCUGGCGGGAGGAGAAGAGCGGCGCCAUCACGUGUGAGAACUGCAUGAGGACCAACCAGAAGAAGGCGCUCAAGGUGGAGCACACCAGCUGGCUGAAGGCCGCCUUCCUGAAGGCGCUGUAGCAGCAGCAGGAGAUUGAGCAGCAGCUCCUGCAGCAGGGCGCAGCCUCUGCUGCACAGGCUAAGGCCGAGACCGCCGCUGCCCCACAUCCCACGCUGAAGCAGGUCAUACAACUCCGGCGUAGGUUGGCAUUCCGCUCAGGAGAGGCCUGCGACUAGAGUAACGGGGCUGUGCUACAGGCCUCUAGCCUGCUGUCCCAGGGUUCGACCAUGACGCCCCGAGGUGUCCUGCACACGUUCAGUCAGUCACCCAAACUGCAGAACUCAGCCUUGGCCACAGCCCUGGUCAGCAGGAUCGGCAGACAUUCCGAAUGAACCUGUCAAGGGCAGCAGCACCUCCAACUGGAAGAAGAUGCACAGGCGGGACCCUUGUGUUUGUCAGCCCAAGCGUGGUGGUGCACAAGAGCUCCUCGGCUGUGGACCGCCAGCGAGAGUACCUCCUGGACAUGAUCCCACCCCGCUCCAUCCCCCAGACAGCCACGUGGAAAUAGUGUGAGCCAGGCCCCGUGGAAGACGGGCUCCCUCCUUCCCCACCUGGCCCCCAGUCUAGAAGGACCCACUGCACCACCCUCCGCUGGCUUGGGAAGACACCGUGGCCGUCCCAAGAGCAAGCACCGGCCGUGCUGCAGAGGCGAGACCUCAAUUCUUGGCUGCAAAGUUUCAUCAGGGUUGGGGGGCUGGUGCCACCUCAUAGGCGGACAAGGAUCAUCGCUGGGGAACCUUUCCCGUGGGCUUUCUUCCUUUCUCUCUUUGCCUUUAGUUUGCCCGACACCAGCAGAAAAGUGGACCUUGGGGGCUGGUUCCGCUCCCGGCCCCCUUGUUCGGCCCCUGCCGGCACACGGGCGGCUCACCCUGGACACUGUGACGCGCAUGGGCAAGGCCAGCGCCCGGGGCUUCUGAACUGAGCAGGGCGUUUCGUUUUGUUUUUGCUUUUCCACGUCUUAGGCUCCCAAUCUUUGACUGCCUUCCCAUGGCGAUCUGUAAGGUGAAAGAUUUUUUUUUUUUUUUUUUUUUAAAUCACCUCAUAAUGAUGGAGUUAAAAGUAAACCGUGCAGACUCUGGGGUCUUUGUUGUGCGCUGCGCCGUCCCGCUGGCCCUGUGCCCUGGAGGGUGGGCGGCUUAUGGUGCCACAGCCCCUGGCAGGGACGGCCGGCCCGCCCGGGUAACUGAUGGACAAAUGCAGGAUGACAGAGGCAGCCCUCGCUCUGGCUGAACGCCUCCACUGCUGCUUGUUCUGGAGACCCCCGCCCCCGGACCUCCCAGACUUAACAGAAGAACAAACUGAGGAACACACCCAGCCAGAGAAGCAGGGAUUCUAGAAGCUGCCCAUGAAGGCCAGAAGCUGCCCGUGAAGGGAGGAGGAGAGGAUCCGGUCGGCAGCAGCCCCGAGCAGGAAGCUGGAGUGGGGACUGUUGCGGGGUUUUUCUGUUGUGGUUUAUUUUAUUAAAUUCUUUCCUUUUUUCUAUUCA